Molecule: long non-coding RNA, 312 nt
Filed under: Ananas comosus (pineapple)
Lineage: Eukaryota; Viridiplantae; Streptophyta; Magnoliopsida; Poales; Bromeliaceae
Description: long non-coding RNA (ACOM_LNC044891)
Source: RNAcentral
ACUAUGUAGCCUCUCGUAUUCCCAAUCAGAACCAAAAACCAAAAAUCAAAUUCCAUCCUAUUUAGACACCCAACGUUCUCGUCAGGUCUAAAUCCGAUCACAGAUAUAUAAGAUAAAAUUAUCAGACAAUGUAAGUAUAUAAUCGUCUCUAAUACCAAAUGUAAUAAUAUAAUUUAUUGGACCCAAACCACCAGUCCAAAAUACUUAAGUCCGAUUAUUAUUAUUAUGAUGUAUAGCUUUUUAUAUUUUCAAUCAGAAUCUCUUUCCAAUUUGAUGUGAGACUAUAGAAGGUGUUACAAAAAGAGCAAGAAA